Molecule: RNA transcript, 3375 nt
Organism: Corythoichthys intestinalis (scribbled pipefish)
Lineage: Eukaryota; Metazoa; Chordata; Actinopteri; Syngnathiformes; Syngnathidae
Gene: naa38
Gene name: N-alpha-acetyltransferase 38, NatC auxiliary subunit
Exons: 4
Source: RefSeq, a predicted model, not a curated record
CAUAGCCUUACAUGGGUGGCAGUUAAUUGUCAAUGCGCUCUAAUGGUAAGUGUAUGGUCAAAAAUCACAGCCACACGUUUUUUUUCUACCAUUUAAUAUGAAUGGAAAAUUGGGACGUGCGUAUCCGCCAAUGGCAUGGUUGUGCAUGGCCAGCAACAAUGCCAUCUACCCCUAAAAAAUACCACAUACCCUCCCAAAAAUAUGCCACAAACCAAAAUCCAUUUUGCCACAUACCUAAACCCUACAGCGCAUUGACAUUUAACUGGCACCAGAGUCAGGCUACGCCACUGACGACUGUGCACGUCUAAAUUUUCCAUUCAUUUUGAAUGGCAGAAAAACGUGAUUGUGAUUUUUGAAUAUACUCUUUACAUUACAGCGCAUCCAUUUUGCCACAUACCAACAAAAAAAUGCUCUCUCUCUAAAUCCGUCUGAAAGUAUUGACUCUUCCUUCGUAUCAUGACGACAUGUGACCACCAAGGGUCGCUGUUCUACAAGGGUCGCGCAGGAAAAUGUCCGUCUGGUAAAUACUUCCGGCAGGAAACCACAGAAGAAGACUGCACAAAUGGCAACAAUCGAAGAAAAUGGACCGUCGCUUCGUGAGCAGGGUGACAUGUCGUCUUUAGCGAGGCAGAAGCUUCAGAGCCUCCUGAACAAGAACAUGAGGAUCCGCAUGACCGACGGCAGAACCUUGGUGGGUCUUUUCCUCUGCACGGACCGGGAUUGUAAUAUCAUCCUGGGCUCGGCUCAGGAGUUCCUCAAAUCCACAGACACUUUCUCCCAGGGUGAACCCCGAGUCCUGGGCCUGGCCAUGAUUCCGGGUCACCACGUGGUGUCCAUCGAGGCAGAGGCUGACAUUCUGGACGACACGCAAACUUUCAACAUCCACCACUAGCAUUUUUUCAUUAAUUUAUGUGAUGUUCUGACCGACACAAUAUCUGUCAUUUUUACUUGUACAUACAGUCAUGUGAAAAAAUGAGGACACCCCAUUCUCAUAUUAACGUCUGAUCUUGGUUUUUUUUUUUGUAUCUCUGGAAAAUAAACUGAUUUAAUUGCAGGUAAACAACAAAAAUGAACAUUGUUUUACUCAUUAAACCAAAUAUAUCAACAAAAAUGCAUAUUCUAACUGAGGAAAAGUUAGGACACCCUGCCACUUAAUAGCUACUGUUACCCUCUUUGGCUGAAAUAACUUAAGUGAGUGGACAGUGGAAUGGCUGAUUUUUUAUUCUUUUGAAAUCCCUUACCAGACUCAUAAGCAUCAACAUUCUUCUUUCUGAUGAUCUCACCAUGGUGUUUUCUCUCGCUUCAACAGUGACACUAUACUAAAUAUGAGGUAUAAAUAAGGCAAGCCUCCUUCAACCCAAUGGGUAAUGAUGUUCUAAUCAUGUGCACCUGAUGUGAUACACCUGUGUGUGAUUUUAGCCAUUUGAAGUGGGAUUGAAUGUGGGGGAGUACCUUAACUACUCGAGUACUCAUUACUACUUGAGUACUUAUUAUUUAAGUACUUGUUACUUAACCACUUAAGUACUCAUUAGUUUAGUACUUGAGUACCUUCCACUGAAGUACUAGAGUAUUCAAUACUACUCGAGUACUUGUUACUCAAAUACUCAUCACUUAAAUACUCGGGUACUCAUUACUUUAUUACUCAAGUACCCUCAACUUAAGAACUCGAAUACAUUACUUAAAUACUCAAGUACCUAUUGCUUUACUAAAAUUACUACUCGAGUACUCAAGUACUAGUAGGUUCCACUGAAAUACUUGUACUCAUUACUACUUGAGUACUUGAGUACUCGAUUACUUAACUACUUGAGUACUCAUUACUUAAAUACUCAGGUACUCAUUACUACUUGAGAAUUUGUUAAGUACUUGAGUACUUGUUACUUAACCACUUAAGUACUCAUUACUUCAGUGGAGUACCUUCCACUGAAGAACUAGAGUACUCAUUACUACUCAAGUACUUGUUACUCAAAUACUCAUCACUUACUCGAGUACUCAUUACUUUAUUACUCAAGUACCCUCAACUUAAGUACUCGAUUACUCAUUACUUACUCAAGUACUUAUUGCUUUACUAAAAUUACUAGAGUACUCAAGUACUAGUAGGUUCCACUGAAAUAAUCAAGUACUCAUUACUUUACUACUCGAGUACUUGCUGAGUACUCGAUUACUUGUUAACUACUCGAGUACUCAUUACUUAAAUACUCAGGUACUCAAUACUUUACUACUCGGGUACCUUCCACUGAAGUACGCGAGUACUCAUUACUUGAGUAGUCAUACUCAAGUACUCAUUACUUACUCGAGUACUCGUUACUUUACUACUCAAGUGCCCUCCACUUAAGUACUCAAGUACUCCUUACUUAAAUACUCAAGUACCUAUUGCUUUACUAAAAUUACUACUCGAGUACUCAAGUACUAGUAGCUUCCACUGAAGUACUCAAGUACUCAUUACUACUCAAGUACUUGUUAUUUAAGUACUCGAUUACAUGUUAUUUAACUACUAAAGUACUCAUUACUUUACUACUCAGGUACCUUCCACUGAAAUACGCGAGUACUCAUUACUACUCGAGUACUUAUACUCACGUACUCAUUACUUACUCGAGUACUCGUUACUUUCCUACUCGAGUACCCUCGACUUAAGCACUCGAGUCCUCAUUACUUAAAUACUCAAAUAACUAUUGCUUUACUAAAACUACUCAAGUACUCAAGUACUAGUAGCUUCCACUGAAGUACUCAAGUACUCAUUACUACUCAAGUACUUGUUAUAUAAGUACUCGAUUACUUGUUACUUAACUACUCGAGUACUCAUUACUCAAAUACUCCUGAUGUGAUACCCCGUGAGUGACUUUAGCCAUUUUAAGUGGGAUUGAAUGUGGGGGUGUCCCAAUUUAUCCCUCAACAGAAAUUGUAAUUAUUUAAAAUGACGUUUUACAGAGUUUUUUUCAGUUUUAAUUGUUAAGUUCUAUUACUUGAAUCUCUCAAGAUUGUCAAAUUGAUAUUAAAUAUCCAUAUGACCAAAUAUGUUCGAAAACACAUAGGGUGUCCUAAUUUUUUCACAUGACUGUACAAACCCUGGCGAAAAUGCUGGACUCCAUCAUGUAAAUGUAUCAGUUUUGUGACAGAUCAUUCAAUCCAACUCUAUGGAAUUUGUGUCUGGGAUUCUUUUAAUGCAGUCCAAACCCUGCAUUGAAUUGGCAACAAUGCAAGAGCACAAAAGCUCAAUAAAUAACUCUGUCUUAGUUAAAUAAAAGUGCAGAUUUUGAAAUACUGACGUCUCCGCAUUCAACGUUGGCGUGUUGUCAGCCUAGAAGAUGGCGAAAAUGUUCUUUUUUUUUUUUUUUUUUUUUUAAAUCGCACAUUGUAACAAAAUAAAACUUAAAUAAA